ACAAACUUCUUUUUUGCUCCCUGACAGCUUCUCUUUUAUUUUUCUCUAUGGAGUUGUGUGUUCUAGAGUCUGAAGCUCAAUUCGGAAGCUUGGUUUCUCUAGCUGAACAGGACUGCACAGAAGCCUUAUGUGCUACUCUGAGAUUCUGAUAACCCCAUGGCGGGUAGGACGGAUCCUUGAACAAUCAGAAACAGUCGUCUAAAAUGGAAGGCGCUAUUGGAAUCCGAAGCUUCACAGCUCUUCAUCUCUACUGCUACUUGUCAAUGUCAGCUUUUCUGCUCAGAUGAGAAGAUGUCCUGGGACUCAGACACCCAGGAACCACACAGCUCUGAGGCGGGACAGUGUCCCAAGGAAAGGCAUCCUGAAAUAUGGAGCCCAGGAACCACAGAGGGCCCCGAGAGCCAAAUUUCCUUGAAUCCAGGACAGACACCUACUGACAACUCUUACCUUCUCCCUCCAUUCAUGGAUCUAGAGCACUGUGGCUGCUCUUAACUUACCUGGGUUAUUCUGACCGCUCAAGAAGAGUGUGUGUGAUGCUCAAUCCAGAUCAGUGGAGAAACACAGCACGCAAGCGUAACCACUGGAAGUUCAGCAAAGGAGGGAAGAGCUGGCAACGAAAAUGUGCCCCUCAGGAAGAACAAGUGGGAAAAUGUAUAAGGAACGGUUUUCUCUGAGCUGAUGGUAAAAUAGCAUACUUGACUGAAUUUAUUACUGUCUACCACUAUGUGAUUUCUUAUGUACUGGAAAUGUUUAGACCAAUAAUAGAGACCCAAAUAAUGAUUGAAUAUUGUGUGCUUCAUACGUAUCUAUUUGUCUUGCCUUGUUUCAGCUCAAUCAAUAAUCAUGUUAUUGUAGGUAAGAUUUUAUGCUAUAUUUUAUAUAAUAUAUAAUUAAUAAUAGUAAAAAAGACUGAAAAUACAUUGCCAAACUAUUGAUUCCUACAUCUAUUAUUUGUUUUACUUAUGUUUAAAAUAUGCAGGGUUCUCUAAAACAAACAAAUAAAAUAUAAUAUGGGCAGUUAAAUUUUAAUUAUUGACAUUUAGUAUAACUAUAUUCUAUGUGAUAUUCAGUGUAAUAUUUUAAUAUAAGUAUGUCCCAUUUAUUGUACUAAAAAUUGUUCUUUUUUUACCCAAAAUUCAAAUUAAGUGAGCACUCAGCAUUUUUGUUAGAUACUGAUUUCUUUAUCAGAAGAUUAAUUUGGAAGGGUAUUAAAUAGAAUCCAAGAAAAAGAAAAGCUGAUCCCUGAACUCCAGAGUUUUUGGCAGGACUCUUGGGAGUGGGACGCUGAACAUCCCUUCCAUCCUGUGUGACCCGUCAGCUGAAUCUAGCGUUGUGGCUUUCUUACCACAAACGCCUUUGCUCUCACACAGCCUUAGAGUAUCAUCAGUUCAUUCUCUGAUUUAGUUUGAAUAAUUACCAACUCUUCCUUGUAUUUAGUUAUUCAUUCAUAAAUUGCUAGGACAACCCCCUUAGUGUCCCUGGCACAUCACAUUUGAUAGUUCCAACAUCGUCGUAGAGUGGAUGCCACCUUUACAGGACAGAAGGGAAGCUCAUGGAGGUUAGUAAUCGACCUGAGACCACAUGCUUGGUUAGUGAUAGGUGCAGGAUUCGCAUCUCUGAUGUUCUGAAGUCUAAGCUCUGGUGGAAAUGCAGGCUGUGGUGUGGGGGGAAGGGGAGCACCCCCCUUUAGAGCCUAAGGUAUUCUAAGGCCAAUUUUACAUACUUGAGACCGUUGAAGACCCUUUUUGUUCAAACUGACUCUCAGAAUUUAAAAAAUAAUGACAUUGUUUCCCUGAGAUAAAAGCUGUGUAACAGUUUCAAAGCUUUAUAACAAUCAAAUACAUGUGGUUUUGGCAAACGA
Molecule: non-coding RNA, 1861 nt
Organism: Rattus norvegicus (Norway rat)
Lineage: Eukaryota; Metazoa; Chordata; Mammalia; Rodentia; Muridae
Source: RefSeq, a predicted model, not a curated record